RNAcentral lists this ribosomal RNA (200 nucleotides) under uncultured bacterium. RNAcentral describes it as "partial 16S ribosomal RNA". It matches the Rfam family "Bacterial small subunit ribosomal RNA", at positions 28 to 231 of the family's 1533-position model. The record is from RNAcentral.
GAUGAACGCUAGCGGCAGGCUUAACACAUGCAAGUCGAGGGGUAUGGUUCUUCGGAACCAGAGACCGGCGCACGGGUGCGUGACGCGUAUGCAAUCUACCUUUUACAGAGGGAUAGCCCAGAGAAAUUUGGAUUAAUACCUCAUAGUAUAACAUGACCGCAUGGUCGAGUUAUUAAAGUCACAACGGUAAAAGAUGAGCA